GACGAACGCUGGCGGCGUGCUUAACACAUGCAAGUCGAACGGAAAAGCCCUGCUUUUGUAGGGUGCUCGAGUGGCGAACGGGUGAGUAACACGUGAGUAACCUGCCCUUGACUUUGGGAUAACUUCAGGAAACUGGGGCUAAUACCGGAUAGGAGCUCCUGCUGCAUGGUGGGGGUUGGAAAGUUUCGGCGGUUGGGGAUGGACUCGCGGCUUAUCAGCUUGUUGGUGGGGUAGUGGCUUACCAAGGCUUUGACGGGUAGCCGGCCUGAGAGGGUGACCGGCCACAUUGGGACUGAGAUACGGCCCAGACUCCUACGGGAGGCAGCAGUGGGGAAUAUUGCACAAUGGGCGGAAGCCUGAUGCAGCAACGCCGCGUGCGGGAUGACGGCCUUCGGGUUGUAAACCGCUUUCGCCUGUGACGAAGCGUGAGUGACGGUAAUGGGUAAAGAAGCACCGGCUAACUACGUG
This 468-nucleotide ribosomal RNA is filed under the name uncultured bacterium. RNAcentral describes it as "partial 16S ribosomal RNA". It matches the Rfam family "Bacterial small subunit ribosomal RNA", at positions 28 to 507 of the family's 1533-position model. The record is from RNAcentral.